CAGUCGGCUCAAGAACGAACGCUGGCGGCAUGCCUAACACAUGCAAGUCGAACGAGACCUUCGGGUCUAGUGGCGCACGGGUGCGUAACGCGUGGAACCUGCCUUUAGGUUCGGAAUAACUCAGAGAAAUUUGAGCUAAUACCGGAUAAUGUCUUCGGACCAAAGAUUUAUCGCCUUUAGAUGGGCCCGCGUAAGAUUAGCUAGUUGGUGGGGUAAAGGCCUACCAAGGCGACGAUCUUUAGCUGGUCUGAGAGGAUGAUCAGCCACACUGGGACUGAGACACGGCCCAGACUCCUACGGGAGGCAGCAGUGGGAAUAUUGGACAAUGGGCGAAAGCCUGAUCCAGCAAUGCCGCGUGAGUGGUGAAGGCCUUAGGGUUGUAAAGCUCUUUUACCCGAGAUGAUAAUGACAGUAUCGGGAGAAUAAGCUCCGGCUAACUCCGUG
RNAcentral lists this ribosomal RNA (444 nucleotides) under uncultured bacterium. RNAcentral's name for it is "bacterial SSU rRNA". It matches the Rfam family "Bacterial small subunit ribosomal RNA", at positions 26 to 507 of the family's 1533-position model. The record is from RNAcentral.